This 418-nucleotide long non-coding RNA is filed under the name Medicago truncatula (barrel medic). RNAcentral describes it as "long non-coding RNA (MTRU_LNC000939)". The record is from RNAcentral. Lineage: Eukaryota; Viridiplantae; Streptophyta; Magnoliopsida; Fabales; Fabaceae.
CCAAUCUCAGCUCCAAUAGCAUCAAGGGAAUCAACGCUGUCAGUUGAGCGCUUAACUCCUACUUUGCUUACUGUGUCUCAACCAAGUUAGUUUGUGCUGCAAGAAUCACCGUAUUCCAAAGCCACCUAACGUCCAGAUUUAUAGCAAGACGUCAAUAAAUUAAACAUUUAACAGCACUGUGUUUGGAAUUUUGAUAGUAUUUCUUUUUUAUCUUUUUUAAAGACCGUAGUUCUUAGAUAGGUUUUGUUCCAACCUAUUUAUUAGUACUCGCAGAAACAUUAUUAUCAGAAUUUGUGUAAUCAACUUCAUCAAUUUCGUUUCCAACCUGAACAGUUUAUGACAAAUAAAUUGAUGAAUUAAUACAUACAAAAAAAAAAAUCAACUCAUUAUAUCACAAAACUACCUAAGAUUAUGCUUA